GACGAACGCUGGCGGCGUGCUUAACACAUGCAAGUCGAACGAAGAGCGAUGGAGGCUUGCUUCUAUCACUCUUAGUGGCGAACGGGUGAGUAACGCGUAAUCAACCUGCCCUUCAGAGGGGGACAACAGUUGGAAACGACUGCUAAUGCCGCAUCCGAUCUGACCUCGGCAUCGAGGAUAGAUGAAAGGUGGCCUCUAUUUUUAAGCUAUCACUGCAGGAGGGGAUUUGGUCUGAUUAGCUAGUUGGAGGGGUAACGGCCCACCAAGGCGAGGAUCAGUAGCCGGUCUGAGAGGAUGAACGGCCCCAUUGGGACUGAGACACGGCCCAGACUCCCACGGGAGGCAGCAGUGGGGAAUCUUCCGCAAUGGACGAAAGUCUGACGGAGCAACGCCGCGUGAGUGAUGACGGCCGUCGGGUUGGAAAGCUCUGUUAAUCGGGACGAAAGGCCUUCUUGCGAAUAGUUAGAAGGAUUGACGGUACCGGAAUAGAAAGCCACGGCUAACUACGUG
This 510-nucleotide ribosomal RNA is filed under the name uncultured bacterium. Its description in RNAcentral is "partial 16S ribosomal RNA". It matches the Rfam family "Bacterial small subunit ribosomal RNA", at positions 28 to 507 of the family's 1533-position model. The record is from RNAcentral.